Molecule: long non-coding RNA, 1363 nt
Organism: Pangasianodon hypophthalmus (striped catfish)
Lineage: Eukaryota; Metazoa; Chordata; Actinopteri; Siluriformes; Pangasiidae
Exons: 3
Source: RefSeq, a predicted model, not a curated record
GCCUCAGUGUCUCUGACUUCUUGUGGAAUUGUUCUGUCCAGAAGCAAGGAAAAAAGAAGAAGCUGAGAUUGCGCUUGCACUUGUCACUGUGUUUGCUCUUAUCAGUGGACAGAGAAUCAUAAAGGGGAGGGCUCUCACAGGAAGAAGCUUCACCUUUGCCCUGUGUUUGCUAUCAGCAAUAUUGAUUACAGGUUUGCUCGGCAGGAGCUGCUCCUGUGGAUGAGACUCGGAUGGAGAUUGGGCAUGAAUCACAGGAGAUGAAGAGAAGAAAACUCAUUUGCUCAUUUCACCCGCAGCAAGGCUCAGUAUAGUUACAGGUAAUAAGGUGGUAGAUAGUAUCAUUAUAUCAAAAGGAUAUGAGGGGUGAAAGUAUUACAGCCUCGCUCUACACUGUGUAUCGUCCUGUAUCACUCCUCCCUGUAGUGGCCUAAUGGAUAAAUCUGGGCUUGAAAAUGCAGGGCGGGGAAACGGAGGACAAAAAUCGCUUCAUAGCAUUCAAGGACGCAGAUCUUUUUCCUUCUUACAACACAAUUCGGUGGAUUUUAUCACUAUAGGCUGCGACCUUUAUAGUAGGUUUGGAUGACCACAGGACCACAGGAGAGUAUCUGAUUGAGCUGUUUUUUUUUUGUGUUUUUUUGAUGAAAAGCAUUCUCCAAAAAGGACCUGUCCUCCAUUAGAAAAGAAAAAAAACUGACUUUGUAGGUUUAUUCCAAAAGAGGAGAGGGAUUAAAAAAGCAGCAAAGAAUGGUUAUAAAAGCAUGGCAGCCUUAUGAUUUAGUGGCGCAAUAAAGAAUGGAAAGGUGGCCAUUCAUCAUGGAAGCGAGCUCACCAGGAGAGGAGUCUGUCACACACACACACACACUCGAAAGAAUUAACCCCUAAAACCGACUCGGACCAAAGGCUUUUUCAUACACACCCACAGAUGCAGAGGUGCACCCUGGGAGCUCGGCUCUGUUACACAGCGUCUGGUCUGAUCUGAAUAAACUUUAAAUUUAGAUCAUUUUUUAAAAAUGAAAUCAACAUUAAAAACAAAACAUGACACACUGUGCCCUUUUCCUUAAGACUUUCAUCAGUGUGUAUCGGUAUCAGUUUAUUUAAGAAUUUAUUGAUGUCUGAUUCAGAAUUUUUAAUCAUUGAGUGCGUCAACAUCAUCUGAUACUGAUGCAUACAGUAUAUUCCAUUAAAGCUCUGCAGAAAAGAUUACAGAUUAUCUGAAGACACGUAGAACAGUAAAAUCUAAUCUUACGAUUCAAUCACUAAAUAGAACGCUUAUAAAAAAUGUCUGCCUGACAAUAGUCAUUUUGUUUAUUUAUUUAUUAAAUAAGCUCUUCAUUUAAUUAUUUAUUUCCAUUUAUUUAUAAUU